Molecule: small RNA, 66 nt
Filed under: Lysinibacillus xylanilyticus
Lineage: Bacteria; Bacillati; Bacillota; Bacilli; Caryophanales; Bacillaceae
Description: Bacillaceae-1 RNA
Rfam family: Bacillaceae-1 RNA
Source: RNAcentral
AAUAGAGGAACGAAGGCUAAAACCAUCACGUCCUGUGAUAACGCCUUCGUGAUAACGUUUUGUUGG